Brassica rapa (field mustard) is the source of this 409-nucleotide long non-coding RNA. RefSeq lists it as uncharacterized. NCBI's taxonomy places the organism in Eukaryota, Viridiplantae, Streptophyta, Magnoliopsida, Brassicales, Brassicaceae. The record is from RefSeq and is a predicted model, not a curated record.
GAAAAACCAGUCAUACCCUUAUUCUCUUUCAGUGGCUUAGACUACUAUUUGCUUCAAAAAAAUCCAAAGCAGGGGCUGAAAUAUUAACUUUACACAAUCAAUUAUCCUGAACCUUUCCUACAUUUUGCACUUACUUCAAGCAUCCACUCCGAUCCCAUAGUUCGUGUAUAUACACCGAAGAAAAUCCAAUAUGAGCUAAAAGAUAGUCGAAAGAAGACUACAUUAAAAUUAAAUUAAGCUUACCCAGUCAGAAAGUCCAACUGCCAAAGCUUGUGGAGAAGUUUGCAGAAAAGUCCAGUUUAUUUCAGGCUGGUUUGACGGAGACGGUUAACCGGAGUAUACUGGAAUCUUCGAGAAAAUGUUAUAAGAAAUGUCAGUCAGGUAGUAUAACACGCAAGCCCAAUGAUUU